RNAcentral lists this ribosomal RNA (482 nucleotides) under uncultured bacterium. Its description in RNAcentral is "bacterial SSU rRNA". It matches the Rfam family "Bacterial small subunit ribosomal RNA", at positions 29 to 506 of the family's 1533-position model. The record is from RNAcentral.
UUGAACGCUGGCGGAAUGCUUUACACAUGCAAGUCGAACGGCAGCACGGGGGCAACCCUGGUGGCGAGUGGCGAACGGGUGAGUAAUGUAUCGGAACGUACCCAGUCGUGGGGGAUAACUAUCCGAAAGGAUAGCUAAUACCGCAUACGUCCUGAGGGAGAAAGCGGGGGAUCGCAAGACCUCGCGCGAUUGGAGCGGCCGAUAUCGGAUUAGCUAGUUGGUGAGGUAAAGGCUCACCAAGGCGACGAUCCGUAGCGGGUCUGAGAGGAUGAUCCGCCACACUGGGACUGAGACACGGCCCAGACUCCUACGGGAGGCAGCAGUGGGGAAUUUUGGACAAUGGGCGAAAGCCUGAUCCAGCCAUGCCGCGUGAGUGAAGAAGGCCUUCGGGUUGUAAAGCUCUUUCAGCCGGAAAGAAAUCGCGCAGGCUAAUACUCUGCGUGGAUGACGGUACCGGAAGAAGAAGCACCGGCUAACUACGU